GAAGUAUAAACAACAAUGGACUCGGUUGUCAAUAAUAUUCUUUCGAUUCAAGCCGCUUUCAUCUUUGAAGAACUGAUUGAACUGUUCAUCAAUAUACCUUUCAAUCGUUUUCCAGCUGUAAAAUAAUGUAAAAAUCUUUGUGUUCGGAGACUACCGCUUUUCAACGAUUCUACCUUCUUCGUGAUAUCUUGAUUCGGCUUCAUUAGAUACAUUUUCGUUGUUGAUGUUUGCCCCACAUGUAUAGAAUUUGCGGUUCUCUUUAUGGGUGAGGCAUCCCAAUAGUUCUCAAAACACCACCUGGCAACUUGAGAAGCAUAAUCAUCACUGCGGCGGCAUAGAACAUGAACUUGUAUUUCCUGAAAAGAUUUCGGUAGC
Long non-coding RNA from Argiope bruennichi, 375 nucleotides. RefSeq lists it as uncharacterized. The record is from RefSeq and is a predicted model, not a curated record. Lineage: Eukaryota; Metazoa; Arthropoda; Arachnida; Araneae; Araneidae. The transcript has 3 exons.